RNAcentral lists this ribosomal RNA (497 nucleotides) under uncultured bacterium. Its description in RNAcentral is "partial 16S ribosomal RNA". It matches the Rfam family "Bacterial small subunit ribosomal RNA", at positions 28 to 507 of the family's 1533-position model. The record is from RNAcentral.
GAUGAACGCUGGCGGCGUGCCUAAUACAUGCAAGUCGAGCGAACAGAUGAGGAGCUUGCUCCUCUGACGUUAGCGGCGGACGGGUGAGUAACACGUGGAUAACCUACCUAUAAGACUGGGAUAACUUCGGGAAACCGGAGCUAAUACCGGAUAAUAUAUUGAACCGCAUGGUUCAAUAGUGAAAGACGGUUUUGCUGUCACUUAUAGAUGGAUCCGCGCCGCAUUAGCUAGUUGGUAAGGUAACGGCUUACCAAGGCAACGAUGCGUAGCCGACCUGAGAGGGUGAUCGGCCACACUGGAACUGAGACACGGACCAGACGCCUGCGGGAGGCAGCAGUAGGGAAUCUUCCGCAAUGGGCGAAAGCCUGACGGAGCAACGCCGCGUGAGUGAUGAAGGUCUUCGGAUCGUAAAACUCUGUUAUUAGGGAAGAACAAAUGUGUAAGUAACUAUGCACGUCUUGACGGUACCUAAUCAGAAAGCCACGGCUAACUACGUG